AUGAAAAAAAAUAUUAUAAUUGUGGGUCUCCAAUAGUUACAAUCUUUCUUCUUCCUUUUCUUUCUUUCUUGAACAACUCCACCGUAAAAUUAUUUCUCUGUACUUUAUCCCACCACACAAAUCUUUAUCUCUCACUUCCUUUUCUUUUUUACAGAUUCCUUCAUUAUUAAAUUUCAACAGUUCAAACAAUCAAUUUCAAUUAAACUCACCUUAAAUGUUAUCUCCUCCUAAAUUAAACCUGCAUCUGAGAUUUCUCCGGUGACAUGCUCCCUGACAAACUCGAGCUCAGGCUCCUUAGCUUCAUAUGCACACUAUGCUCUUCUUUCUGGCAGGAAACAAGUUGAAGAAUCAUAACAAUCAAGUUGCGUACAUAGAGUUGAGAACGUGGUUGUAAGAAGAUGGAUGGAAAAAGAAGGUGGUGGUAACAAAGUUGUUAAAGAGGGUUCUGCAUGAGAAAAUCGUUGAGAAAAGAAGUUGUACAUGUAUACACCUAUGUACACAAGUUUUCAAUGUAUAAGAUAUCAGUAAUAUGUAUGGACCACUUUCUACACUUGUAUAUGUUUGUGAAGGUUCAGAGCACACACAAUUCCAUUAUCUCAAAACACACAAACCAUAUGCAUAAAGGCAACUAUUUGUACACUUAAACAUGUGUUUUUUCGUAUCUGUUUUUGCAGCAUCAUUCAUGCUUGUCCGUUUGUACAGUGUCGUUAAUGUUUGUCCAUAUGUACAUGUUCAACUGUUAAAAAUGUGUUCAUCGUG
Molecule: long non-coding RNA, 759 nt
Organism: Raphanus sativus (radish)
Lineage: Eukaryota; Viridiplantae; Streptophyta; Magnoliopsida; Brassicales; Brassicaceae
Exons: 2
Source: RefSeq, a predicted model, not a curated record